AACCCUUAAGCAUAUUUCAUUUUCAAUUUUUUCUUCAUAUUAGUGCACGCAAACAUGAUGACGACCACUAUGAACACUACAAAACUUGUUUUCCUCCAUUUAGCUUAUGUGUUUGGUAGCUUGCGAAUUUGGUUGUUGCAUGAUGAGGGGAAAAUCUUGAGUGACAAAGAGUGUUGUUGUUGUGCAUUUUCGGCAAAGUAUACAUAAUAGAUCCUGUAGUUGCUUGCAUGAUGAUGGUGUAGUCAUGUUAUAGAUCUAGGCACGAUGUAUUGCACAACUCUGGCGGUGCAAAUAUGUUUGGUUGUUGCUUUUUGCAUUUUUCCAUGAAAAGGAGAGUUGCAAGAUUAGUGAUAUACUCUAAUGAGGUGAAGCUCGAAUGUCUCUAGCAUUAUGUGUGGAUGGUGGUGAGAUCUUGUGGAGGUUUGAUCUGUUGUUGGGUUUCGACGUGGCUCAUGCGAUGAGUUUGAUAGGGGGUGCUGGUGUUGUGGAGGAGUUGUUUCGAUCUAUAGAUUCAAUGACGGUUCACAUGAUUUUUGGUGGAGUUGCAAUGAGACAAGUGGAUAUAGUUUGUGGUUAUCCGAUGAGUAUGCUUGGUGGUGUGCGAAGAAGCAUGAAUUUUUGGAUUUUAUUAUAUGUUAAGAUUGUUGAUAAGGGGAGCACAAGUUUAGCUGAACUCAUAAUCUCAGUAAUAUCUGAGAUUUUGAUGAUGACAAACGCAUAAUUAAUAACACACGUAUACUAUGUGUUACAUGUUCUAUGUUUACAUGUUAUAUGUGGUGUUGAAUAUGUUUGAGCAUACAUGAGAAAAUGAUUGUGUUCUUAUUGUGUUAUUCAUUGCAUUUCACUGUGUUAUAUAUGUGAUUUUAUAUUUGAAUGCAUGACACAUGUUUUGGAAACGGAAAACCACAAGCAUGUAUGUUAAACUUUAAUUGUGUG
This 936-nucleotide long non-coding RNA is filed under the name Vigna radiata. Its description in RNAcentral is "long non-coding RNA (VRAD_LNC013948)". Lineage: Eukaryota; Viridiplantae; Streptophyta; Magnoliopsida; Fabales; Fabaceae. The record is from RNAcentral.